This 387-nucleotide ribosomal RNA is filed under the name uncultured bacterium. RNAcentral describes it as "bacterial SSU rRNA". It matches the Rfam family "Archaeal small subunit ribosomal RNA", at positions 339 to 726 of the family's 1478-position model. The record is from RNAcentral.
GCGCGAAAACUUUACAAUGCUGGCAACAGCGAUAAGGGAACCUCGCGUGCCAGGUUACAGAUCUGGCUGUCGAGAUGCCUAAAAAGCAUUUCAUAGCAAGGGCCGGGCAAGACCGGUGCCAGCCGCCGCGGUAACACCGGCGGCUCGAGUGGUAACCGUUAUUAUUGGGUCUAAAGGGUCUGUAGCCGGCCGGAUAAGUCUCUUGAGAAAUCUGGCAGCUUAACUGUCAGGCUUUCGGGAGAUACUGUCUGGCUCGAGGCCGGGAGAGGUGAGAGGUACUUCAGGGGUAGGGGUGAAAUCUUGUAAUCCUUGAAGGACCACCAGUGGCGGAGGCGGCUCACCAGAACGGACCUGACGGCAAGGGACGAAAGCUAGGGGCACGAACCG